Molecule: ribosomal RNA, 442 nt
Filed under: uncultured bacterium
Lineage: Bacteria
Description: partial 16S ribosomal RNA
Rfam family: Bacterial small subunit ribosomal RNA
Source: RNAcentral
CCUACGGGAGGCAGAAGUGGGGAAUAUUGGGCAAUGGGCGCAAGCCUGACCCAGCAACGCCGCGUGAAGGAAGAAGGCUUUCGGGUUGUAAACUUCUUUUGUCAGGGAAGAGUAGAAGACGGUACCUGACGAAUAAGCAACGGCUAACUACGUGCCAGCAGCCGCGGUAAUACGUCGGUGGCAAGCGUUGUCCGGAUUUACUGGGUGUAAAGGGCGUGUAGCCGGGUUGACAAGUCAGAUGUGAAAUCCUGCGGCUUAACCGCAGAACUGCAUUUGAAACUGUUGAUCUUGAGUACUGGAGAGGCAGACGGAAUGCCUAGUGUAGCGGUGAAAUGCGUAGACAUUAGGAGGAACACCAGUGGCGAAGGCGGUCUGCUGGACAGCAACUGACGGUGAGGCGCGAAAGCGUGGGGAGCAAACAGGAUUAGAUACCCUAGUAGUC